CGGACGUGAGGAACCUGCCUUUCAGAGGGGGACAACAGUUGGAAACGACUGCUAAUACCGCAUGACACAUUGGGGUCGCAUGGCCCUGAUGUCAAAGAUUUAUCGCUGAAAGAUGGCCUCGCGUCUGAUUAGCUAGUUGGUGAGGUAACGGCCCACCAAGGCGACGAUCAGUAGCCGGACUGAGAGGUUGACCGGCCACAUUGGGACUGAGAUACGGCCCAG
This 222-nucleotide ribosomal RNA is filed under the name uncultured bacterium. Its description in RNAcentral is "partial 16S ribosomal RNA". It matches the Rfam family "Bacterial small subunit ribosomal RNA", at positions 112 to 334 of the family's 1533-position model. The record is from RNAcentral.